UGUUUAGUACUCCCCUUUGGUUUACUCUUUGAAGGCUCUUUUACACAUCCUUUUAUCACCAUUCUCAGUCUAGUUUCAUCCAUCUUUCAUAGCAUUCACCAUCAUUUUUGUACAUUUUGCAUCUUUAGUCGAGUCUAGGACUAGUCUUGCAUACAUUCUGCAUUCUGGAUUUGUUUCAGGUGUUUUGAAGCUAUUGGUGCUCUGAAAGAGGAAAAACAGAACAGAAAGUCACAUUUCCACCUACAUACUCGAUCACCAGUAGCAGAGAGGGAAGCAGUCAGCUCAGUAGUCCAUCCAGACACUUCUACUCGAUCGCAGAGGAGACCAGGCAGACCAUUCUGGCAGAUAUACUCGAUCGCAGAGGAGAGGAGGCGGUCCAUUCUGCAAUUCUACUCUAUCGCAGAGGCAACCAGGCAGUCCACUUUGCUAGUCCACCAGUUAUACUCGAUCGCAAAGGAGAAGAACCAGUCCAUCCUGACAGCUGACACACUUACUCGAUCACAGAGGCCAAGAAGCAGCACAGACCAUUCUGUCAACCAACCUACUCGACCACCACCUCGACCCUCUGAUCCAUCCGCACUCAACCAAACAACCUGAGCAUCCGAAAGAGAAGAGAAGAGAAGGCCCAUUCGAAGCCCAUUUGAAGCCUAUCAGGAAGCCCACUUUGAGCCGAUACUCUUGAUCACGUCGUCUAUGGGCCGUUAAGUGGGCUCGAAGCCCGCUUUCUUAUCUUAGUAUAAAUAAGUCUCUAAGGGUUUCGCCUUGAGACAUGCACUUUUAGAGACACGAAAAUCAAACAGAAACAGCAAAACACUCGACCAACACAACUCUGUGUAGAGCACUGGAUGAGGUCGAGUGACAGGUCGAGUAACAGGCAGAAAGUGAAACAGGGAUACUCGACUGCACAGUCUGUUGCCAGACAACUGGGUGGUCGAGUAUCAGGUUGAGUAACAGGAAAGAAUUGCAGAAACUAUGCAACAGAUAACAAGAUGCAGUAAACAACAGUAGAGUAAACAAAGAAUUCAAUCAGAUAAAGAAUUCCCGAGGAUGGGGUAAUCGAGUAGUUUCGUUUUCUCAGUUUACAGGUGAUUGACAUGCUCAAUAAAUUAACCCUAGACAACAAGUUCCUUAACCAAAUCUAAGUGCCACCGCAACAGAGACUCUCAAGUUAACCUAGUCCCAGACUCAAUCACCAUUGACGAGAGCUAACCUAACAGGCAUUACGAAUCAACAAGUUAAAGCCAAAACGCUCCCUGCAACCAAUACCUUGGUACAGGGUCACGAAUCCCUGGAAUUAGUGGUUCAGACAUUUCAUCGAACACCUUUUGGGCGCGGAAAUGUCUGGGCUCAAAUUCCAGUUGAUCAGAAAGCAAUAGGCAUUAAGAAUAACUAAUCCAGAAGAGAUGUAUCAAUCAAUACUCAAUCACCUAGCAUACUGAGAAUCCUACACUACUCUAACCCAUCCUCAGAAACCUAUUCACUACUCAGACAUCAUAACAGAAAGCAUAGACGUUGAACAAGUUGAAAACAUGAUAACAACAGUGUAAUAGCAGGAUGAUAACAGAAUGAACAACAGUAAACAAAAUCAAGAACAAAAGCUGAAUACUAAAGACUGAAUAGAUAAAGAGAAAUCCGGAUUACAAAAAGUAUAGAACAAAAGGUCUGCGGAAUAAAACUAGAUAAAAAACUUCUUGUCCAAAAAUAUGAACUACAUGCUACUUAUAGUCAAAUAUUCCGAAACCCUAAUACUCAAAACGACGAAGUAUUGAGACGGAUUAAGAACUGUACUCGACCCAUGUGGUAGACUGGGAGGUCGAGCGAGUAGCUGGAGUCUUCUUUUCUUCCUUGUGCUCGAGUGUCUGGUUGAGUGCGGAAUGAAGAAGGCUCUGCAGCUUGUCAUCGAGUAUGCAGUCGAGUGGUGUGAUGGUGAUACUCGACUUCCUGGUAGAGUAUGCAGUCAAGUGGUGUGAUGGUGAUACUCGACUUCCUGGUAGAGUGAUGAGGUCGAGUAGUUGUCUGGCAAAGGGAUGAAGACACUUGACCUGGGGGUCGAGUGAUGUGAUCGAGUGGUGGUCAGGAGAUGGAGAUGAAGUCACUCGACCUGGGGGUCGAGUGAUGUGAUUGAGUGGUGGUCAGAAGAUAGAGUGGUGGUGUCUUCUACUCGCCUGGGGGUCGAGUGGUCUCUUGAGAUCUUGAAGCUCCUACUCGACCUCUGGGUCGAGUGGUUUGUCAUGAUCAGGUCCGCUUCUUCCAGUUAGCUCGUCGACAGCUCCAAAUCACGUGAAAACAACACAAAUAUACAACAUGCAUGCAAAACUAUCCUAAACAUGCAAAGUGAUGACAAAUGAUGUGAAAUGGUAUAAAACAGUGAUGAUAUGAUGCUAAAAUAAUGACAAAUGGAUGCUUAAAACAUGCAAAAUAUACACUUAUCAGUGUUUUAGGAUAAUUGAUCUCAAAAACCUAUUAUUAGCUUGGAUUGAACAGUUUGAGAUCCUUUUUUUUCAUGCUAAGCUGAUCCAAGUAGAUUUCAUGAGAUGCCAUAGGUACCAAAAUGGUUUUUCUUCCU
This 2566-nucleotide small RNA is filed under the name Arabidopsis thaliana (thale cress). Its description in RNAcentral is "ATSL272000". Lineage: Eukaryota; Viridiplantae; Streptophyta; Magnoliopsida; Brassicales; Brassicaceae. The record is from RNAcentral.